This 933-nucleotide long non-coding RNA is filed under the name Danio rerio (zebrafish). RNAcentral describes it as "lncRNA si:dkeyp-114c5.1 (ENSDARG00000102570.2)". The record is from RNAcentral. Lineage: Eukaryota; Metazoa; Chordata; Actinopteri; Cypriniformes; Danionidae.
AGCCUCUUUACCCUUUGUGUAUUACUCCGCCCACAUACAGCCAGCAACAAGCAAACACUACAUUUUGACAAAUAUUACUGUUGUUAGACAACAAAAUAUAAUUUUGAGGCUUUUUAGUCGAGAAUGUAGUUGUUUAGAUUGCAACUAUGCAGUUUAUUUGCAAGAACAUAGCCUAUUUUUAAAUAUUUACAAUGUCUGAGAGACAGCUUGUCGGCGACAGUUGACGUUUUCUAUCCGCAAGAUGGCGACAGAACCGCAUAAUAAGCCCUUACGCUUAGAAGAUAUAACAGUCUGAUUUCUAAUAUAGCAGAUUAAAUUAAUAUUAAACUGGUAAGCACACCUGCCAACAUUUCCGUUUUUUAUGGGAGUAUCCCGUAUUUCAGACCAAUUUUAGUCUCCUGCAAACAUCCCGUUUUUUUUUUCUUUCUAAAAAAACUCCCGUAAGUUCACCCACCCCCCUCUUUGGUACAAUCUGUAAACUAAACACCCCCGGGUUGCCAACUUUGGUACAGUACCCGAUCAAAGCGGCCGCCCAAAACCCGCUGCAUCCUCCUCAAAGUCCGCAUGUGUUUAGCGUUUUUCCUUAUCGCAAACACAACAGCAGUCUGGUAACGUUAGUGGAUUCGUUGUUAUUUUCGGGGUUAAUUUUUGUGAAAUGCCGAUUGCAACAGUGAAAUACUGCAGACUAUAACACUGUAAGAAGAUAUCUCUGUAGACAUAUGACAUUUCAUGUCACGUUCAGCCUUAUAAUCUUAUAGUGUAAGCACAAUCAGCAGUUUUGCCAUCACUUUAGACAGAGUCAUUAAAACACUAUCUCUAAAGUGACGUUGGUGAAUUAGUAAUGCUUCUGCUGUUCUGACGUCAGCUACAGAUGUGAAUGAAUGGCGGAUGAAAGUAGUUCCUAAUAAAAAAAAAAAGGGUUUUUAGACUCUC